GACGAACGCUGGCGGCGUGCUUAACACAUGCAAGUCGAACGGAAAGGCCCUGCUUGCAGGGUACUCGAGUGGCGAACGGGUGAGUAACACGUGGGUGAUCUGCCCUGCACUUCGGGAUAAGCCUGGGAAACUGGGUCUAAUACCGGAUAGGAGCCAUUUUUAGUGUGAUGGUUGGAAAGUUUUUUCGGUGUAGGAUGAGCUCGCGGCCUAUCAGCUUGUUGGUGGGGUAAUGGCCUACCAAGGCGGCGACGGGUAGCCGGCCUGAGAGGGUGGACGGCCACAUUGGGACUGAGAUACGGCCCAGACUCCUACGGGAGGCAGCAGUGGGGAAUAUUGCACAAUGGGCGCAAGCCUGAUGCAGCGACGCCGCGGGGGGGAGGACGGCCUUCGGGUUGGAAACUCCUUUCGCUAGGGACGAAGCUUUUUGUGACGGUACCUAGAGAAGAAGCACCGGCUAACUACGUG
RNAcentral lists this ribosomal RNA (465 nucleotides) under uncultured bacterium. RNAcentral's name for it is "partial 16S ribosomal RNA". It matches the Rfam family "Bacterial small subunit ribosomal RNA", at positions 28 to 507 of the family's 1533-position model. The record is from RNAcentral.